AUCCCUGUAGCGCAAUGGAUAGCGUGUUGGAUUUCUGAUCCGAAGGUCGUGGGUUCGAAUCCCUCCUGGGAUG
Molecule: transfer RNA, 73 nt
Filed under: Trichonephila inaurata madagascariensis
Lineage: Eukaryota; Metazoa; Arthropoda; Arachnida; Araneae; Nephilidae
Rfam family: tRNA
About the family: Transfer RNA (tRNA) molecules are approximately 80 nucleotides in length.
Source: Rfam by way of RNAcentral